This 73-nucleotide transfer RNA is filed under the name Anaerolineae bacterium. RNAcentral describes it as "tRNA-Ala". It matches the Rfam family "tRNA". From Rfam's summary of the family: Transfer RNA (tRNA) molecules are approximately 80 nucleotides in length. Their secondary structure includes four short double-helical elements and three loops (D, anti-codon, and T loops). Further hydrogen bonds mediate the characteristic L-shaped molecular structure. tRNAs have two regions of fundamental functional importance: the anti-codon, which is responsible for specific mRNA codon recognition, and the 3' end, to which the tRNAs corresponding amino acid is attached (by aminoacyl-tRNA synthetases). tRNAs cope with the degeneracy of the genetic code in two manners: having more than one tRNA (with a specific anti-codon) for a particular amino acid; and 'wobble' base-pairing, i.e. permitting non-standard base-pairing at the 3rd anti-codon position. RNAcentral also lists the same sequence under 3 other names. The record is from RNAcentral. Lineage: Bacteria; Bacillati; Chloroflexota; Anaerolineae.
GGGGCAGUAGCUCAGUUGGGAGAGCACCACAAUGGCAUUGUGGGGGUCAGGGGUUCGAGUCCCCUCUGCUCCA